Molecule: ribosomal RNA, 464 nt
Filed under: uncultured bacterium
Lineage: Bacteria
Description: partial 16S ribosomal RNA
Rfam family: Bacterial small subunit ribosomal RNA
Source: RNAcentral
GACGAACGCUGGCGGCGUGCUUAACACAUGCAAGUCGAACGGAAAGGCCCCCUUGUGGGGUACUCGAGUGGCGAACGGGUGAGUAACACGUGAGUAACCUACCCUUGACUUUGGGAUAACUUCAGGAAACUGGGGCUAAUACCGGAUAGGAGCUCCUGCUGCAUGGUGGGGGUUGGAAAGUUUCGGCGGUUGGGGAUGGACUCGCGGCUUAUCAGCUUGUUGGUGGGGUAGUGGCUCACCAAGGCUUUGACGGGUAGCCGGCCUGAGAGGGUGACCGGCCACAUGGGGACUGAGAUACGGCCCAGACUCCUACGGGAGGCAGCAGGGGGGAAUAUUGCACAAGGGGGGGAAGCCUGAUGCAGCAACGCCGCGGGCGGGAUGACGGCCUUCGGGUUGUAAACCGUUUUCGCCUGUGACGAAGCGUGAGUGACGGUAAUGGGAAAAGAAGCACCGGCUAACUACGU